AUUGAACGCUGGCGGCAUGCUUUACACAUGCAAGUCGAACGGUAACAGCACUUCGGUGGCUGACGAGUGGCGAACGGGUGGGUAAUACAUCGGAACGUGCCUAGUAGUGGGGGAUAACUACUCGAAAGAGUAGCUAAUACCGCAUGAGAUCUAAGGAUGAAAGCAGGGGACCUUCGGGCCUUGCGCUACUAGAGCGGCUGAUGGCAGAUUAGGUAGUUGGUGGGAUAAAAGCUUACCAAGCCGACGAUCUGUAGCUGGUCUGAGAGGACGACCAGCCACACUGGGACUGAGACACGGCCCAGACUCCUACGGGAGGCAGCAGUGGGGAAUUUUGGACAAUGGGCGCAAGCCUGAUCCAGCAAUGCCGCGUGCAGGAUGAAGGCCUUCGGGUUGUAAACUGCUUUUGUACGGAACGAAAAGCCCUCUUCUAAUACAGGAGGGUCAUGACGGUACCGUAAGAAUAAGCACCGGCUAACUACGUG
Molecule: ribosomal RNA, 482 nt
Filed under: uncultured bacterium
Lineage: Bacteria
Description: partial 16S ribosomal RNA
Rfam family: Bacterial small subunit ribosomal RNA
Source: RNAcentral